GCCAGGUGUGGUGGUGCACGUCUGUAAUCCCAGCAGCUCCGGAGGCCCAGGCAGGAGGAUCUUGACUUCAAAGUCAGCCUCGGCAAACUCGAGGUGCUAAGCAACUCAGUGAGACCCUGUCUCUA
Molecule: small RNA, 125 nt
Filed under: Marmota monax (woodchuck)
Lineage: Eukaryota; Metazoa; Chordata; Mammalia; Rodentia; Sciuridae
Source: RNAcentral